GACGAACGCUGGCGGCGUGCUUAACACAUGCAAGUCGAACGGAAAGGCCCUGCUUUUGUGGGGUGCUCGAGUGGCGAACGGGUGAGUAACACGUGAGUAACCUGCCCUUGACUUUGGGAUAACUUCAGGAAACUGGGGCUAAUACCGGAUAGGAGCUCCUGCUGCAUGGUGGGGGUUGGAAAGUUUCGGCGGUUGGGGAUGGACUCGCGGCUUAUCAGCUUGCUGGUGGGGUAGUGGCUUACCAAGGCUUUGACGGGUAGCCGGCCUGAGAGGGUGACCGGCCACAUUGGGACUGAGGUACGGCCCAGACUCCUACGGGAGGCAGCAGUGGGGAAUAUUGCACAAUGAGCGGAAGCCUGAUGCAGCAACGCCGCGUGCGUGAUGACGGCCUUCGGGGUGUAAACCGCUUUCGCCUGUGACGAAGCGUGAGUGACGGUAAUGGGUAAAGAAGCACCGGCUAACUACGUG
Molecule: ribosomal RNA, 468 nt
Filed under: uncultured bacterium
Lineage: Bacteria
Description: partial 16S ribosomal RNA
Rfam family: Bacterial small subunit ribosomal RNA
Source: RNAcentral